Molecule: ribosomal RNA, 250 nt
Filed under: uncultured Nitrososphaerota archaeon
Lineage: Archaea; Thermoproteati; Nitrososphaerota
Description: uncultured thaumarchaeote partial 16S ribosomal RNA
Rfam family: Archaeal small subunit ribosomal RNA
Source: RNAcentral
UACCAGCACCCCGAGUGGUCGGGACGAUUAUUGGGCCUAAAGCAUCCGUAGCCGGUCUUGCAAGUCUUCCGUUAAAUCCAGCUGCUUAACAGAUGGGCUGCGGAGGAUACUACAAGGCUAGGAGGCGGGAGAGGCAAGCGGUACUCAGUGGGUAGGGGUAAAAUCCUCUGAUCCAUUGAAGACCACCAGUGGCGAAGGCGGCUUGCCAGAACGCGCUCGACGGUGAGGGAUGAAAGCUGGGGGAGCAAAC